GGCGGUGCUGCUCCCGAGUCGGCGCGCGGCGGGGACGCGAGUCCUUUCUCUCCUGUCACAAUGGCAUGAUCUCGGCUCACUGCGACCUCUGCUUCCUGGGUUCAAGGAUUCUCCUGCCUCAGCCUCCCAAGUAGCUGGGAUUACAGUUUCCAUCAUUAUCUUCUAUGGAGUUCUUCAUUCCCACAUCUGUGGACCUUAAAAUCCUACCGUUGAGUGCCUGCCUUGGAUCAGCAGUCAGUUCGUUACCUUGGUUCUCAGACGAUGCUUGCAACAACGCCAUGCGAUUCGCCCACUCUUGGGUUACAUUAGUUAUACACUCUGGAGGUGACUUGACCUGUCAUUGUGAACAAUUAUUGCUCUUGGACGACCCAGGACAUAGGCCAGCCAGUACGUACCCCAGUGUGUUGGAGAAUCGCGCUCGGCUUCUUCCUCUGUGCUGAGUCAUGAAAGUUGCCGGAGCAGGUGCAGUAUGAUCCUGUUUAAGGACUGGAUUUAGGAUAACUACUUAGAGGUUAAAAGUCACAAGGGUGUAUGGAUGAGGCUGGAGUGAUCUGGGACCAAAGACAUCUAGGCUUGCUGUCAAGGCUUCUGAUCAACAUGAGAUGACCGCCGUGUGGUAAACUGAUGAACCCUGACCCUGAUCAACAUGAGAUGACCGCCGUGUGGUAAACUGAUGAACCCCGACCCUGAUGAACGUGAGAUGACCGCCGUGUGGUAAACUGAUGAACCCCGACCCUGAUGAACGUGAGAUGACCGCCGUGUGGUAAACUGAUGAACCCCGACCCUGAUGAACGUGAGAUGACCGCCGUGUGGUAAACUGAUGAACCCCGACCCUGAUGAACGUGAGAUGACCGCCGUGUGGUAAACUGAUGAACCCCGACCCUGAUCAACGUGAGAUGACCGCCGUGUGGUAAACUGAUGAACCCCGACCCUGAUGAACAUGAGAUGACCGCCGUGUGGUAAACUGAUGAACCCCGACCCUGAUCAACAUGAGAUGACCGCCGUGUGGUAAACUGAUGAACCCCGACCCUGAUCAACAUGAGAUGACUGCCGUGUGGUAAACUGAUGAACCCUGACCCAUUAGGCUUUGGCUACAGAAUGUGGAAAUAAGUUGUGUUACUACAUGUGUGUAAUCCUAGGGUGCAGGACACCGGCCGGGAGGUUCCAUAGAGUGAUGGGUUCUGCAGGUAACUCAUCCUCUAGUCCUCUGUAAGCUCCUAGAAGGAAGAAAUUAUGUCCUUUAGACUAAUAAAAUUCCUCCAAACCAAAUACAGCACCUACUGUGAAGACACAAAGAUACUUUUAGAAUAGUAAAAACUUUAUCCAUUGAGAAAUUCCUUAAUGAAACAGUAUCCAAGAAGUCAUUUGCCAGCAGAUUUCUUAGAGGUGCGAUAAAGAAGAGGACAUUGCCAGUCGUCACAGCAGCUGCAAUAGCUCCUCUCUAUUGUUAAACAGUGGGAUAUCUUGUGCAGGUUUUCAGUUGACAAUCAAUUUUAAAGAUUAGUUUCGGUCCCCAUCAAUCAAUUAUUUAUUAACCCAUCAAUAAAAAUUUAAAUGC
This is a long non-coding RNA of Homo sapiens (human), 1558 nucleotides long. Ensembl annotates it as long intergenic non-protein coding RNA 1128. NCBI's taxonomy places the organism in Eukaryota, Metazoa, Chordata, Mammalia, Primates, Hominidae. The record is from Ensembl.